This 637-nucleotide ribosomal RNA is filed under the name Dendropsophus anceps (Estrella treefrog). Its description in RNAcentral is "partial large subunit ribosomal RNA". It matches the Rfam family "Bacterial large subunit ribosomal RNA", at positions 1777 to 2628 of the family's 2925-position model. Lineage: Eukaryota; Metazoa; Chordata; Amphibia; Anura; Hylidae. The record is from RNAcentral.
UGCUACUGAGUUUGUUGCCGCCUGUUUAUCAAAACAUCGCCUCUUGAACACAUAUAAGAGGUCCAGCCUGCCCAGUGACUAAAUUCAACGGCCGCGGUAUCCUAACCGUGCGAAGGUAGCGUAAUCACUUGUUCUUUAAAUGAGGACUAGUAUGAAUGGCACCACGAGGGUUAUACUGUCUCCUUUUUCUAAUCAAUGAAACUGAUCUCCCCGUGAAGAAGCGGGGAUAAGACUAUCAGACGAGAAGACCCUAUGGAGCUUCAAACAACAUAGCAAUGGCUUAUUUACCUAUAUAAUUUCAGAAUACCUAUACUUAUCUUAGCCUUUUGACUAUUAGUUUUGGGUUGGGGUGACCACGGAGCAAAACCUAACCUCCAUGUUGGAUAGAUCUCCUCUUGAGCCAAAAGCCACAACUUUAAGCACCAAUAAACUGACAUAACUUGACCCAAUAUUUUGAGCAACGAACCAAGUUACCCUAGGGAUAACAGCGCAAUCCACUUCAAGAGCCCCUAUCGACAAGUGGGUUUACGACCCGAUGUUGGAUCAGGGUAUCCCAGCAUGCAGCCGCUACUAAAGGUUCGUUUGUUCAACGAUUAAAACCCUACGUGAUCUGAGUUCAGACCGGGCAACAAACUCA